ACACCUCAACUCUCGUGGUCCGCCGCGAUGAGCUUGGACUUUGGGGGUCUUGCCGGCCUAGCGUCGGCUCCUCUCAAAUGGAUCAGCCUGCCAGUGUUUGGUGGCAUCACGGGUGUGAUAACUAUCUACGCUUGUGGUUUUCCACCAUGUAACCUUCAGCGAUGGAGGUUCGCUGGGGCUCACAGAUGUCUCUCCUCGGUGAGGACAGCUUUUGAAC
This 217-nucleotide unclassified non-coding RNA is filed under the name uncultured Thelephoraceae. Its description in RNAcentral is "sequence contains ITS2". Lineage: Eukaryota; Fungi; Basidiomycota; Agaricomycetes; Thelephorales; Thelephoraceae. The record is from RNAcentral.